CCUACGGGUGGCAGCAGUGAGGAAUAUUGGUCAAUGGGCGCGAGCCUGAACCAGCCAAGUAGCGUGAAGGAUGACUGCCCUACGGGUUGUAAACUUCUUUUACAAAGGAAUAAAGUGAGGAACGUGUGCCUUUUUGUAUGUACUUUAUGAAUAAGGAUCGGUUACCCCCGGGCCAGCCGCCGCGGUAAUACGGAAGGUCCGGGCGUUACCCGGUUUUAUUGGGUUUAAAGGGGGCGUAGGCCGGUCUUUAAGCGUACCGUGAAAGUUUGUGGCGCAACCAUGAGAGUGCGGCGCGAACUGGAUACCUUGAGUGCGCGGAAGGCAGGCGGAAUUCGUGGUGUAGCGGUGAAAUGCUUAGAUAUCACGAAGAACCCCGAUUGCGAAGGCAGCCUGCCGCAGCGUUACUGACGCUGAAGCACGAAAGCGCGGGUAUCGAACAGGAUUAGAUACCCCAGUAGUC
RNAcentral lists this ribosomal RNA (460 nucleotides) under uncultured bacterium. RNAcentral's name for it is "partial 16S ribosomal RNA". It matches the Rfam family "Bacterial small subunit ribosomal RNA", at positions 338 to 795 of the family's 1533-position model. The record is from RNAcentral.